RNAcentral lists this long non-coding RNA (4529 nucleotides) under Elaeis guineensis (African oil palm). RNAcentral's name for it is "long non-coding RNA (EGUI_LNC027005)". The record is from RNAcentral. Lineage: Eukaryota; Viridiplantae; Streptophyta; Magnoliopsida; Arecales; Arecaceae.
AGGGAGGAGGUACAAGGAUUGGUUGAUGUACUAUCAGGUGGUUUCAUAUGGGGAGACUCCUCCAUGGAUUAAGGGAUGCACCGUGGCCGAAAACUGUAGCAGGGAAUUGCAGAAUCUUCAGUGAGUGAUCCAACUUACUAUAAAUAACAUUCCAUAACCUGAAAGCUUUAUUGUGCUUUUCAGGUAUGGGCUUGGCCUUUAAAUGAAGAUACAUUCUCACAAAAGUCAUUCCAAUGGUUAUGGAUUUAAAAUGGAAAGUUAUAAUUUCUGUUGACAUAACAUGUGCAUGGCUGCAAAAGGAUGACAGUAACAGCCACCAUGGGCAUGGUCAUACCCACCUGCCAGCUUUAGAUUUGUUGGGGAAAAGGGUGUUAAAAAGAUAACUUUUUUUUCCAAUGCUGCCAAAUUGUUAAAGCCUGCAGCUGCAUUAAAAUUCUCAUGGCAGCAAACCCCACAACCUAAGAUACUCUUGCAAUACUGACACCAAGCAGGCACAAGUACUAUAUGUUACGCAUGAGUAGAUUCCACCGUCAAUUCAUCACAUAACUAUAGUUACAUAAUUUGCCUGGCAUUGGUGUUUUGUAGUGCAGAAGAAUGCUACUUGUAAGCAUCUCGAAAAAAUUUACCGUCAUGAAGUGAAGUUUGAAAGCAUGAAAUCCAACAUUCACAUUUCACAAUGUAUGUUUUUUUAAAUUCUGCUUUUUUUUUUUUGAUUCUGAUAACUACAUUGUCAAGCAGAAUAGUUAGGCACUGAAAAUGGUGGAAUGAGAUUUUGGAGAAGCAUACCACUCGUGCAGGUUCUUAUCUUUGAUCAUUGUUGUUGAAACAGGUACAGAAGUUCUGCAAGCACCAGAUGUCUGAACUCCCUUGAACAAGUGCCUACCUGGCCAAGUUUUCAGAUGGUAAGUAUGAAUCUUCUAAAUAAUGUAGUAUUCAAAUCACAUUAAAAUUGACAAAUGGAUUGCUAACUUCUGCACAAUGAUUUAAGGUUAUCAUAGUGACAGGGACUUUUUUAUUUUCUGUUUCUUUUGUUUUUUCUUUUUCUUUUUGAGCAAAUGGGAAGGGAUACCCGGCCCAAAUUUUAUUAAGGGAAGAAGGUAACACAAGAAUUAGUAAGAAAAAUUCUCCAUCCAUGUUCCUUACUUGCCUUCAGGAAUGUCAGUCUUAUGAUCCUAGAAAUUACCAAUAUGCCUGUUUUGAUCGUGCAGUCAGAAGUUUGUGUUAUAGUUAUCACUAAACACUAACAGAAGAAGAUCCCCUCCAGAAAGUUGAUGCAUAUCUCACUUUGUUCUUCAUUCACUAUUUUCUGGUGCAAAAUAACCAGAGGAAGCAUUCGGUGCUAGUUUCCACAAGAAAAUUGUUCAUCAUGGGAAAUGUCUUCUGCAGGGAGAAGGCAAGAGUAACCUUAAACUUGGUACAUGACAGUCUGAUGCUGACAAGGCCAUGUACUUCACUCUCCCCCAACUCAAAUAUAAUGUCAACAUUCUUUUGGCAAUAUAUAAGAGGUAGCUAUAUACCCUGUUUAAGGUUCUAUAGCCUCCUCCAUGGAGGUGGCUACACUAACUUAUCCUUCAUUUUCACUGUUCUACCUACAAUUUUUAGUUGGAGAAGUUGGUUGGUUGUGUGUCCAUAUAAAAAAUGAUUUCACAUGCAGGUUGUGCCAGAAAAUAAUUUUAUUUGACUUGUCCAGUUCAUGGAAAGGAGCAAAGAAGCCUAUAUUCUCUUCCUCUUGCUUCAAUUUAGCAACCAUAUCAAAAAAGCCAGCUAAAAAUUUGUUCUACUGCACAAUUUAUGCCUGCAAAAUUGCUGAGAUGAUCUCAUCGACACUUCUUUUUAUGUUUGCUGUGCAGGCUCAGAUGGCAUAUCCACCUAAUUCGAAGGAAAAUAUAGAAGUUGAAAAAAUUAAAGCCUCCACAGCCAAUUCAGAGGCAUGUGAAGGUUUUACUAAACCCAAAAAUGAUAACUCCCUUCUGAAAAAUUUGGAUGAGGGUUUUCAUGAAGAAAUCAAUGAAAGCUUUGACAUCAGAUGCCUCCAAGAUAUGCUGGAAGAGUCCCAGUCAGAUUCACCAGUUUCCUUUUAUUCACACGUUGAAUCUACAGAAGCAAGUGAUUCCGAGGUAACGCAUACAGACAUCCACAUACUCAUACAUGGAAGGCGUAAUGCAAUUUGCAUAAUUUUGUUUUUGAACUCUCUGGUUUACUCUACUGAAAUACAAUAAGAUAACUUGAUGCACAAACCUAAACUGCCUGGCUAAUAAGGUAGCUUUGUCAAGCUCCUGGGUUGCUUGAUCUUAAACCGCAUGGCUAAUAAGAUAAAAUUUGUCCUGCCAACUGGUCUUCUAGCAUUCAAAGCAGCUAUUCCUUUGUGGAAAGUGCCUUGCCAAGGACCAACAAAGCAAGUCAGAACUGGCAGGUUGAGAGAUGGUGAUGUAAGGUUCUCAAAUUUUUUGAUGGAUAGUACAAAUUGAUCCAUAUAACCAAACUCAAAACUACAUGCGACAAGGCCUGCCAUUCAAUGUCUAUUUCGCAAUAAGAAUAUAUCUAACUUGGCAAGUAGAGUCAAUGAAACCGUGUAUUAUAAAAGAUGGGAUUCUAGGAUCUAAUGAUAAACCUACAUCAACUAAUAUUACAAUAAGAAAACCAAGCUUACUAUCAUCAUCAUGCCUUCAAUAAAGAGAACUAUCCUAAAGGCAACAGAAAUUGGAAAAAACUAGCAUAGUCGCUGGACCUGUCAUUUAUUAAUGAUCACUAUUCCUCUGAAUCAGAUGAGAAUGCAGGGUGAAGAUAUUCCAGAAAAGAUUCUGACAACCUAUGCUGAGCAUUCAGCAUCUAAUACUGGUGAGAGGUAUGUCCACAACAUAUUAUAUAGCAUCUACCAUCAGCUAUUACUGUUACCAGCUUCUUAUUAAAAAUUUAUUAUGUAAUUUGUAAUGUGUUCUUACAUUCAGCCAGCUGAUCAUUACAGGACCUACCUACCUAAUUACUCACCUCCUGAGUGUCUAGAGACAUCUCCUCCUGAUUGUCCAAGCUAUUCAAUGCAUGUGCAAGUCUGCGAAGCAAAUGCAAGUUGUCUGUUAUCUAGCAGAUCACAUAGUUCGCUCAACAAUUUAAGAUUUUCAAUCUUGGAUCUGAGAGAUGCAGAGACAUAUCCCUUAUUUAACUGUUCUGUAGAAGAUGAGACACCUACAGGAAGAUCACCAACACAUGAUUUAAGAUGCUUUAGCAAUUUCUCAUCCAAAUUUAGAAAGAAAUAUAGCAUAUCUGAAUUGGUUCCUCGAGGAAGUAUUGCCAAGAGGAAAGUAAACUUUUCAAACAGUGAGAAAGACUGGAGUGAUGAAAGCUCAGAUUAUGGAAAAGAUAAUCACUCUGAACUACUGGGAAGAUCUGAAAAGGCAGUUUCAGUUCUAUGUUUCUCAGAUGGUCCAGGAAAAUGUGAAGAUGCUGAUGUGGAAGUUUCAACUAUAUGGGAAUUGCUCAACACUAAGAAAGAGGUUAGAUAUGGCUCAGUAAAGCAAGAAAUUCUUGACCAAUUACUGCACAUCGUUUCAACUUCUAAAAAGGAGAAACUCAUUAGGGCAUCAGUAUCUAUGCUUUUACUUCUAAUAUCAGAAGACAAAGCAGUUAUAGAAGACAUUAAGAAAAAGGAUUUACAUCUGAGUAAAUUGGCCAGUGCAUUGAAGAGAAAUGUGCAAGAUGCUGCUAUUCUUAUCUAUUUACUAAGUCCAUCUCCUACAGAGAUAAAAGGUCUAGAGAUUCUACCAGCACUAGUGGAGGUUGCUUGCAACUCCGAUGGUCAGAAGAAGGGGUCUUUGUCACUUCCUUUAACACCAACAUCAGCAUCAAUAGCCUUGAUUGAAGUAUUAGUAACUGCAUUUGAUUAUGUAACAAAUAACAUGCACUUGGCAGCUAUUAGUUCUCCUCAGAUUCUCUCUAAGCUUGUAAAUGUUGCAAUGAACAAGAAUCUAGCAGAAGGUGUGGCUUUGGCAGCGAUUCUUGUUAGGUGCAUGCGUCUGAAUGGUAAUUGCAAAAAGUUUCUGUCACAAGUUACUCCUGUGGAUCCAUUUCUCUAUCUUCUGAGAAGUAAUGAGAGGCGUGCAAAGUUUGCUGCGCUUGAAUAUUUCCAUGAGAUUCUUCGCAUGCCACGGUAUAUUUAUAUGCUUUGAAUUGCUUAUUUAAAUAGCUAAUCUCAAUUCACGUGUCUGAUCUUGUAUGUAAUAGAUGGAUAUGUUAUCUCUAUGAUUUGGGCUUGGAUUUUGACUAUUUCACAUCCAGUUCUACUUUUUGAGGCUUGUUAUUUCUCAGUAAACCAAAUCAUCAACCAUAAACAGAAAUAUCUGUCUCGGAUAACUUGCAGAAUGACAGCACUAAACAUAGCAACACAUUUAGAACAUUUUAAGUUUUGUACAUCAAAUAUUUCAUGCGAGCAAACAGCAUAGAUAUAACUUAGCAAACCUUUGCAUAUAAAUGUAGGUAUGCAAAUAGGAUGUUCUUGGGCUAUGGAUUUCCGAAACUUUCGAUUGCCAGCCUGA